AGUGAACGCUGCGGUAGGCCUAACACAUGCAAGUCGAACGGCAGCACUGUAAGAGCUUGCUCUUACGGGUGGCGAGUGGCGGACGGGUGAGGAAUACAUCGGAAUCUACUUUUUCGUGGGGGAUAACGUAGGGAAACUUACGCUAAUACCGCAUACGACCUACGGGUGAAAGCAGGGGAUCUUCGGACCUUGCGCGAUUGAAUGAGCCGAUGUCGGAUUAGCUAGUUGGCGGGGUAAAGGCCCACCAAGGCGACGAUCCGUAGCUGGUCUGAGAGGAUGAUCAGCCACACUGGAACUGAGACACGGUCCUGACUCCUACGGGAGGCAGCAGUGGGGAAUAUUGGACAAUGGGCGAAAGCCUGAUCCAGCCAUACCGCGUGGGUGAAGAAGGCCUUCGGGUUGUAAAGCCCUUUUGUUGGGAAAGAAAAGCAGCAGGUUAAUACCCCGCUGUUCUGACGGUACCCAAAGAAUAAGCACCGGCUAACUUCGUG
This 491-nucleotide ribosomal RNA is filed under the name uncultured bacterium. Its description in RNAcentral is "partial 16S ribosomal RNA". It matches the Rfam family "Bacterial small subunit ribosomal RNA", at positions 29 to 507 of the family's 1533-position model. The record is from RNAcentral.